RNAcentral lists this ribosomal RNA (450 nucleotides) under uncultured bacterium. RNAcentral describes it as "partial 16S ribosomal RNA". It matches the Rfam family "Bacterial small subunit ribosomal RNA", at positions 338 to 795 of the family's 1533-position model. The record is from RNAcentral.
CCUACGGGGGGCUGCAGUAAGGAAUAUUGGUCAAUGGACGAAAGUCUGAACCAGCCAUCCCGCGUGCAGGAUGAAAGCCCUAUGGGUUGUAAACUGCUUUUAGCAGAGAAGAAAAGCUUUCAUUAAUGAGAGUCUGACGGUAUCUGCAGAAUAAGCACCGGCUAACUCCGUGCCAGCAGCCGCGGUAAUACGGAGGGUGCCAGCGUUACCCGGUUUAACGGGGUGGAAGGGGUAGUAAGACGGAGUAGGUGAAAUUUUGUCGCUUAACGAUAAAAUUGCCAAUGAUACUGGUACUCUUGAAGUGGGUUGAGGUUAGCGGAAUGUGACAUGUAGCGGUGAAAUGCAUAGAUAUGUCAUGGAACACCAAUUGCGAAGGCAGCUAACUGGGCCUUGAUUGACGCUGAGGCACGAAAGCGUGGGUAGCGAACAGGAUUAGAUACCCUGGUAGUC